RNAcentral lists this long non-coding RNA (6918 nucleotides) under Lactuca sativa (garden lettuce). RNAcentral describes it as "long non-coding RNA (LSAT_LNC009599)". Lineage: Eukaryota; Viridiplantae; Streptophyta; Magnoliopsida; Asterales; Asteraceae. The record is from RNAcentral.
GUAUGAAUGGGUCUACGGCCACAAUGCCGGCCCAUGUAGUUAUGAGUAGAAGACCCGGGGGUUAGCCCUAGGUACAGUAUGCUAGUAUGAUAUUCGGGACGAGGUCCAAUGAUAGAGGGCGGGUGCCCAAGGAAUGGUUUAUGUGAUAGUUUAUACUUGUUGUCUGUGUGAUACUUGUAUGUGCCUGGUAGGGAGGUGAGUGUGGGCGAGGUCCCGUAUCUCACCAAUAGCAGAGUGUGGAUGGUGUUCCACAUCUCAGUAGCAGCAGAUCAGGGGCGAGGCCCAAGUUAGGGAAGGAGUGAGGGUGGGCUGGGCCCGUACCUCACUAUCAGCAGGAGUAUGGACGGGGUUCCAUGACUCAUCAGUAGCAGGACAAGGGCGGGGCCCAGAGAUAGGUGAGGCCUUAGGACAAGAUCCGUUAGAAUGUGUUAAGCUUACGUGAUGUGAUGUGAUAUGUUUAUGUGCUAUUGUAUGUUAGUGGACGAGGCCCUGUGACAGGCGAGGCCUAAAUGAAAUAGAUCUGUAUCCGAGCGGGGCUCGAAGCCAGGCGGGUCCUGGAGCAACGGGGUCGUUGUAGCGGGCGAGGCCCGAGGUAGGGGUUGGCGAGGCCCAGGAUAGCGGGCGUGGCCCAGUAUGUGCAGUAUGUGGUUAUGCAUGGUAUGUGGUAGGGUGGGGAACUCACUAAGCUUUGUGCUUACAGUUUUCAGUUUUGGUGUCAGGUACUUCCGGUAGCGGAUGAUGGAGCUCGGGGUGAUCGCAUGACACACACCAUAAAUUAGUCAGCCUGGGAAUGUUUACUCUGAUAACGAUCAUGUAUUUUGGAAACUAUUACUCUGUUUAUGUUUUGAAAAAAUGAAUUUGCUUAAUGUGAUGUUUUAUUAAAAGAAAUUUUUAGUCUUGAAUUUUGGGACGUUACAAGUUGGUAUCAGAGACUUGGUUUGAGGGAUUCGGACAUGCUCUCGGGUGUGCCUAAACUCAAACCGAGGAAUUGGUAUAGAAGUUUUCAAAAUGAAAAGACAGUUUUGUAAAAAGAGAGUUUUGGGAAAGAAAACAGUUUUAGAAAAGCAAAAAUAAUUCAGAAAGAAAAGAACUUUGAAAAGAGAAAAAGGGUGUGGUGCAUGCAAUCAACCGAGCUCAAGUAAGUACCCCAAAAUACCCAUACAAGAUUAUGUUUUGAUUAUCAGUUAGUAGAACAGCAUGCUAGAAUAGGGCUAAGGAUCUAGGGGUGAUGCCUUAUGUGCCUGUUAUAUGUGUUUUCGAGCUGCAAGAUAGUGCUGAUUAGACAGUNGUUAUAUGUGCUUUCGAGCUGCAUGAUAGUGCUGAUUAGACAGUAGUCGGAUAGCCUGUUUAGGUUAUGCCUGAGUCUAUGAGUUUGUGUGGGUCUAUGAGUUUGUGUUGCAUGCUAGUUCAGUUUCUUGCUAUGUGGAUAUGAUUGCUUGAGUAUGUUGUGGUUAGAUUUCCCUUUGUCUGAAUGCUGCUUGCUUUGUGAAUUGUGGGAUUCUGAGUGAUGAAAGAUAGCCAUCAGUUGGAUACGACACGUCACAUGUGAUCAGGGUUGAAUAAUCUCAGAGUGCUGGAUUUGGUCCUAUUGCGCAGCUCUUGAUUGAGUCUAACCAUUGUAGGGACGAGUCUUUUACUUGAAGGAUUAUCUGAGCCUCGUCACAUGUGAUGGUAUUCAGGUGAUGGCUAAUUGGCAUCACAAGGAGACCCUCAGCAACUGAGGAUUGGUUUGAGCUGAGUCAGAGGUUUUCCUAGGGUAAGCCUAGGAUGAGAUAGUGUUGGUAGCAGUAGUAGUGGUUAAGGGACCUGGUGGAGUCAAAGCAAUUCCUGAGGAAAGUACGGAUAGAUGUGAAAGGUAGUAUAGGCCCGUACUACUGAAAGCAGAGGAUCCGUACCCGAUUCAGGAAAGGCCGAGACAAGACCGGUAACCUGGUAGGGUGUGUUUGGUCUCGCAUCGGUGAUCAGUAUUCUGAUAGUGGUUGUGGUAUAUUUUCAGCAUGGUGACGUUGCGAGAGAGACCAGCGGGUGGAUCAGGCGCCGGAGAGGGAUCAGGCUCGGGUUCAGGGUCCGAGCAGCUCGAGGAGCGAAUGAGGGAGUUGAUAUCCGCUGAGGUUACGUGCAGUAUUUGAAUCAGACUCCUGUGAUCUUUGGCACGGUCAAGGAGGGUAUAUUGGAGAUUUUGGAUGAGAGGUUGGGAGCCUUCCGUACUGAGAUGAUGGCUUUGAUGGGAGUGCGUACCUUGACAUUUCGGGAGUUCAUCGCUUGCGGGGCACCAGAUUAUCAUGGGGCUAGGGACCCCAUCGCUAGCAGCAGAUGGUUGGCUGAUGUUGCCAACACAUUCCGUAUGAGCCGGUGCCCUGACGGGGACAAGGUCAGACUCUCUUGCUGUCUUCUGAACGACAGAGCGAGGGAUUGGUGGGAGGAGAUUGGUCAUGCUUUGGGGGAUGAUGCCGCGUUGGACGCGAUGACUUGGAGCGAUUUCUCGGCCAGGUUCAGGGCGGAGUUUUCGCCGAUUAUUGAGGUGCAGCAGUUGGCAUGGGAGUUUCAGGAUUUGACACAGACCACUGAGACUGUGGCGGAGAUCACCGCCAAGUUUAGGGAGAGGGCUCUUCUUGUACCGCAGUAUGUCGCGGAUGAGGAGAUGAAGAAGGCCCGAUACCAUGAGAUGUUGAGGGAUGACAUCAGGGAGUUCGUGAGCAGAUCCAGCUGUAAGACGCUGGAAGAUAUGAUUUCUCGGGCUAGAGAGAGGGAAAUUGAUUUGGAGCAGAUCCGGAAGAGGAAGCCGGAUGAGGUUCAGGUAGCUGCAGGUUCGGGCAAAAGGCCCAAGGGAUCGGAUUCGAGAUCGAGGGAUUAUCAGGACCGAAGUCGGUGAGGGAAGUGUGGCAGGGCGCACGGGGGCGCGUGCAGGAGUGGUAGCGGUGGUGAGUCUGGCUGUUUCAAGUGCGGUCAGACUGGUCAUUUCAGCAGGGAUUGUACUGUUACCACCGCGCAUGGAUCAGACUUGUUAUGUUUUCAUUGCCAUCAGCGGGGCCACAAGAAGGCCCAGUGCCCCAGUUUGUUUUCAGCAGGGUGGGUGAUGGCACAUGCCCCUGCAACUUUGAGGAUCACAGACGGCCGUCAAGGCCGUGCAGAGGCGCCUGCGGUGGGAGGCAGAGCUCUUCAGAUGACUACCUUAGAGGCGUGAUCAGCACCGGACGUUGCAGGUAUGCAAUUUCUAUUUUCAGUUCUUUUAUUUGUGCAUGAUUAUAUUGUUAUGGUUCUGCAUCAUUAUCGGUAUGAGUAUUUUAUUUUUUUUUUAUUAUUUUUUUUUGAGCGGUUGAUUGUGAUCGAGUUAUAUGCCAUCUGCAUACCUUGGAUAUUCGAAUGGUAGUGAGGGGAUGUGCCCUAUUGGAGAAGGUUACAUAGGAUGCAGUAACUGUAGCAUGCUUGGGAGGGACUUGGUAUGUCUCGCUAGAUCGGAGUUGUAUAGUGUUAGAGAUGGAUUGGUUAGAUCCCUAGCUAUGGUAAGCUUGGGUUCCUCAGCAGAUUGAUUAUGGAAUGGUAGCAAGGAUUUCUUUUGAGUAUUGAGCAACAAGGGGUAAGCAGGAUCGAAGUGGGGGAGAAUCCUCCGAGUGUGCAAAGGUAGGAGCACGCAGACCCAGAAUGAGUGCGCGACCUCCGAGAAGGAAAAGAAGUGGUUCAGCGUUUGAUGGAUUGAGGAUUUCAGGGUUGGGAGUUUGAGAAACUCCCCAUCAGCUAGUGCGUGUGAUGGUAAUGGUUAGUACGUGGUUGGGAAUUCAGGUUGUGGAUCGCCCGUAGGACUCGAGGGAGUCGGAAUGAGGAUCUUGAGAGCUAAUGGCACAUGGGUGCCUUCGUAUUAGCAGUCAGUGGUAGAAAGUGAUGUAAGACUACGGGGCAGUCGUAGCAUUCACUAGCAGUCAGUGGUAGAAAGUGAUGUAAGACUACGGGGCAGUCGUAGCAUUCACUAGAGGUUAGUGGUGGAAGCGUUGUAAGACUACGGGUAAGCCGUAGCAUUCCUUAGUAGCUUCGUUAGCGGAGUUGGGGCGAGGCCCUUAUCUCCUAGUGAUCAGAUAGGGAUCAGGAAUGGGUAGUGGAUGAGAAUGAUAGGGAGUUUGCUUGUAUAGCCCUAGAGAGGUGAGACCUUGGGAGAGGCCGCUCCAGGAUAUAGUUGGGUGAGACCCGUGGGCGAGGCCCGUAUGAGAUUAGCAGUGUAGAUGAGACCUGAGAGCAGGGUUGCUCAGUAGUAUGGUUGGGUGAGACCCGUGGGCGAGGCCCGAGCGAGAGUGAUUAGACUAGUGGGACUAGAAGGAUAGAGGCGGGUGGGACCCGUGGGCGAGGCCCGUGAGUUUUAGCAGCACAGGUGGGACCUGGUAGGGACCUUAGUGUCAAGUUAGGGGAUCGAGAAUCCCAGGUUUGUAGUGCCUGAAUAGCAGAGUAGAUUGAGCAGUUAUAGGUGAUCGAAGUUCUUUGGAAGUCGCUGGGAGCGACUAGUGGUGGUGUUGGGACUAGCUACCGGUGGGAGCCGGUAAUCCAGUCAUUGAUAGGUUGGUAGGGACCAGGGUGGUCUCAGUUCAUCCGGAAGGCAGACAAGGAAUAGCAGAAUUUUCAGUCAGUAGUACUGCGGGUAAGCAGUGUAUGGUGGAAUUCAGUUAGUUGAAUCGAGGGGUGCUCGGCACCAAGUUUUGACAGAGAAGAGUGUCAGUGGUUACUGACGGUGAUGACCCGUACUGGAAAUACCGGGGGUGAUGGAGUUGGUGAAGGAUAGGACCUUCACAGUGACAGAGGAAAUAGUUGGAUAUGGAGCAUCGCCUUAGGAAGGCAAGGGAAUCGCGUAAGGAAAGAAGGGGUCAACCCCUAUGAGUUCAAGUGCAGUACUCGGAGAAUACCAGAAGGAUUGUCGGUUGAGUAAGUUGUGUUUCUAAGUUGUUCAGGGUCAGGUUUGACCCGAGGUUUUAUCCGCGAGGUUUAUGUUAGUCAGAAUGACCAGGUGGAAGACCAGCGAAGGUAGGCAGCUGGUGUUGGGAUAAUUGGUGGGUUUUGGAAGCAGAUCGCAGGCGGUGGACCAUGGCAAACUUCGAGGACGAAGUUUAGUUUAAGUGGGGGAGAGUUGUAACACACAAUGUUUUGAAGGCCAAGAAAGGAAAGAAAACCCUAACUUUAAGGGGGGGGGGACUCGGCGAGUCCAAACGGGAUCCGGGUCGAGGAGUAAGUGACCGACUCGGCGAGUCAGGUCUGUUCGAGGAAAACCCUAAAUCCGGGACUUUGGGCGCUAUUUAAACUCCUUAUUCUCUCCAUUAGGGUUCCUUAGAGCCUCCCUCAUACAGAAAACGAACCCUAAGCCCCCAUUGUUGUGCAUUCAAGCUUCCAAGUCAUUUUUGGGUGAAUUGAAGGAAGAAGAAAGAGGGAAAUCAUUGAAGUCUCAAGGAUUGGCCUUAGAUCUGGAGUUUGUGGAACCUUUCUGAGUUAUUGAAGGUAAUAAGUCGUUUCUUUCCUUUAGAUCUUCUUUAGUUGUGAGAUUUGGGGCUUUUUAAGCCAUGGAUAGUCAUCCAUUUGAGUUAGAAGCCGGAUCUGGAGUUGCUACUUCAGAUCCAAACAUACUAUGGUCUUGAGAAGCAUAAAGUUUCAGCCCUUGAGUUGAUUAUGGAGCCUCCUUGCCUUAAACCCUAGUUUAUGGUGUAUUUUGCCUAGAUCUCCUUCUCUACAUGUAAAGUUUGCAACUUUACGUGAGGAAUAGGCUUGGGAAGGGUAGAUCUACGGUUUGGAGUCCAUGCAUGACUCAAAAGUCCUCUGUAUGUAUAGAGAUCUAAAUGUACUUGGCGAGUCCUUUGAGUGGACUCGGCAAGUAGCAUAAAGAUGAGGAGGAACUCGACGAGUGGGAUGAACAGCUCAUUGAGUCAGAUGAAGUUGGGUAGGAACUCGGCGAUUUGGAUGAACAACUCGACGAGUCUGUUGAAGGUUGUCUUGGACUCUGCGAGUCUGUUCUUGGACUCGACGAGUCAGGUCGCGAAACCCCAAACCCUUCAAGUUGAGACUUGAAUCAGUGAGUCGAGUGGAGACUUGGUGAGUUGGACAGGUUAGGACUCGGAAAUCGGUAGACUCGGCGAGUCGUGGACUGACUCGGCGAGUCGAGAUGCGAAUGGAAGAACUCUGAACAUAUGAACUCGGCGAGUCAAUAGGGUGACUCGGCGAGUAGGGUUGACCUGGAAGGUUGACUUUGACCAGGACUUUGUCUUUGACUGGAGUUGACUUGGUUGACUGUCGGGGGUCAACUAGACUAAGUGUUGCAUUGAUUUUGGUAGCUCGGGAAGCUAGUGGAGUAGAAGUUCAGAGAGUUGCCGGUCAGCAGCCAGUGGGAUCAUCAGCUAGUUCAGCCAGUGCAGGUGAGUUUCCUUUUGUAUGAAUGGGUCUACGACCACAAUGCCGGCCCAUGUAGUUAUGAGUAGAAGACCCGGGGGUUAGCCCUAGGCACAGUAUGCUAGUAUGAUAUUCGGGACGAGGUCCAAUGAUAGAGGGCGGGUGCCCAAGGAAUGGUUUAUGUGAUAGUUUAUACUUGUUGUCUGUGUGAUACUUGUAUGUGCCUGGUAGGGAGGUGAGUGUGGGCGAGGUCCCGUAUCUCACCAAUAGCAGAGUGUGGAUGGUGUUCCACAUCUCAGUAGCAGCAGAUCAGGGGCGAGGCCCAAGUUAGGGAAGGAGUGAGGGUGGGUUGGUCCCGUACCUCACUAUCAGCAGGAGUAUGGACGGGGUUCCAUGACUCAUCAGUAGCAGGACAAGGGCGGGGCCCAGAGAUAGGUGAGGCCAUAGGACAAGAUCCGUUAGAAUGUGUUAAGCUUACGUGAUGUGAUGUGAUAUGUUUAUGUGCUAUUGUAUGUUAGUGGGCGAGGCCCUGUGACAGGCGAGGCCUAAAUGAAACAAAUAUGU